CGCGGAAACCCUCCCCCGCCGGUGCCGGAGACACUCGGCUUUAUAUCUGCAGCAUCAGCGAGAAAGCCCGGCUCGGCGCAGGCUCAGUGCUCACCGCCGCAGUCCCGGACGGAGGAGGGGGGCUCAGGAGCUCAGCAUCUUCGCAGCGGGUUAAGUAGGAUUAAUACCAAAUCCCUGUUAUAUUUGCCAAGCAACUUGAAUUUAUCAAAAUCCCCCCUGGCUGUUCUGGAGCUCCGAGAGGAGGAAAUUUUGCCCACAGUGUAAGAUCCAGACAUACCAGUAUGCAGGAAUACCAGCAUACUGCAUUACACUGGCUCCCUGCACUAGCGAUACAAUUACAAGCCGAAGCUCCCACUGCUCCCUUUCCUUUGUGCUCUUAAACGCAGCCAGAAAACUUAAUGUAUUCGCCAGAAGAGGGGCGGGAUGAAAGCGCUUUUAACCUCCCCGCCAUAAACUUUAAUCGGAUUCCGGGCUGUUGCACGGCAUGGACUCUUCGCCUCUUGUCUGCGUCUCCUUCCCCGUUGUCUCCCAUGCCUACUACUACUACUGCCUGCCUCGCAGAGCUUGAUUCUUCAAGCGAAUAAGUGAUUUCUUUCUCUUGCCUUGUGCACUCUCUCCCCUCCCCUCCCUCCCCUCUCUGGCCUCUCUUACACACACUAUGCCUUUCACAUGCGGUCUGCGCCCCCCUCAGCCCCCCUCCCCUUCUCUCGCUUUUGCAGUGUCUUCACAUGCAAUCUCUCUCUGAAUGUGCAAUGUCUUUCCUGCUCGGGAGUGCUGCGUCCUUCACAGUGGAUUGGUUCCUCUCUCGGAGCAGAGAAUGACUUCUGCUUCAAGAUCUAUACCUCUGCAACUUGUCAGUGAUUAUAACAACUCAUUGACCAAAAGCAGACUGAUCACGGCAGAUACAAAGAGCAUGUAUGCCAGCAUGAAGAAAAAGAUGUUCUGCUUUACUCAGUAAGCAAGAGGAUUUAAAUAUCUCUAAGGUAAGUAGUAAGGCUCCGAUUCUGCAUAUUCUACCACAGUGCUAAAAAUUAUACUUUCAUUGAGGGCAGUUGUAAGGGACUCAUGUGUGAGUAAGUACAGGUUUAGAUUUGAAUUACGUGUAGAGUUUGCUUGUAUGUAGCUUCCAAAUCCAUGUCGAUAAGCUCCAACAGGCUUCCUUCUGGAAUCAAAGCAGCUUUCAGGACCACGUAUAUCACAAUGAGAAUAUUGUAGAGAAAGAAUAUUAUAACUGUGAGAAAUGUUUGAAAAGAUUGACAAAAAACUUUUUGAAAGCUGCAUUAGAAUAUUGCUUAACAUCCAGAUAAAUAUUUACAAGUAAAGAUCUGCCUAGGGAAAUAAAACAGAAAUUAGAGUAAGGAACCA
RNAcentral lists this long non-coding RNA (1365 nucleotides) under Dromaius novaehollandiae (emu). RNAcentral describes it as "lncRNA (ENSDNVG00000004889.1)". Lineage: Eukaryota; Metazoa; Chordata; Aves; Casuariiformes; Dromaiidae. The record is from RNAcentral.